ACGGGGCGCAGCAGGCGCGAAAACUGCACAAUGUGGGCAACCACGAUGCGGGAAACCCAAGUGCCAGCGCUAUGCGUUGGCUGUCCUCCAGUGUUCGUAACUGGGGAAGAAAGUGCUGGGUAAGACGGGCGCCAGCCGCCGCGGUAAUACCCGCAGCACAAGUGGUGGUCAUUAUUAUUGGGCCUAAAGCGUCUGUAGCUGGCUUGUUAGAUGCCUGGGUAAAUCGAUGCGCUCAACGCAUCGAACUCCGGGUAGACCGGCAAGCUUGGGACCGGGAGAGGCGUGAGCUACUCGAGGGGUAGGGGUAAAAUCCUGUAAUCCUUCGGGAGGACCAGUGGCGAAGGCGUCACGCUGGAACGGCUCCGACAGUGAGGGACGAAGCCCUGGGGCGCAAACCGGAUUAGAUACCCGGGUAGUCCAGGGUGUAAACGCUGCAGACUUGGUGUCGCUGAUCCUACGAGGGUUGGCGGUGCCGUAGAGAAGUUGUUUAGUCUGCCGCCUGGGGAGUACGGUCGCAAGACUGAAACUCAAAGGAAUUGACGGA
Molecule: ribosomal RNA, 544 nt
Filed under: uncultured soil archaeon
Lineage: Archaea
Description: bacterial SSU rRNA
Rfam family: Archaeal small subunit ribosomal RNA
Source: RNAcentral